This is a long non-coding RNA of Mastomys coucha (southern multimammate mouse), 1141 nucleotides long. RefSeq lists it as uncharacterized. The transcript is spliced from 3 exons. NCBI's taxonomy places the organism in Eukaryota, Metazoa, Chordata, Mammalia, Rodentia, Muridae. The record is from RefSeq and is a predicted model, not a curated record.
ACAACAUGAGGAACUAUAUUAAAGGGUUGUUACACUAGGAAGGUUGAGGGAGUGCCCUAGAGGGAACAUAGAAUGGAAAAAAGACCUUAGGUCCUAUCAUGGCAAAGAACUGAAGAUUAAAUAACUCAGAUGAAAGACAGAGGUGAGAUAAAGAAAUCAAGCCCAGCAGAACUACAAUAUACCAACAAGCCAUCCAUGAGGGUCAACAACUGAGACACGAUGCGACGCUCCACUUCCCCAUGAGUCUGUGAAGACAGUAUGUCUGGUCAGAAGCUAGGUCAGGACCUUUUGAGUCCUCACCACCCCCUUGGGUCCAGGCUACUGGAAAAUGUUUUGGGGAGGGCUGGAAUGAUCUGGCUGGACAUGGUCGCCGAGGUAGAUCACCGUUACCCGAAGGGGUCUUCUCGUGAGUGGAAGGCUGGUCCCACUGGUGUCUUCAACUUAACCGCAAGAAGGCACUUCUGCACCCCUCGGAUGCCCCUCGGGGGACGGCCGGGCUUGCUCUCCCCGGCCAGAAGCCCAACACUCGGUCCCCGCCACCGCCCACCGCGCCUGUGGUUGGCCAGGCUGCAACACUCUCGGCCGCGGUUGGUUGUCUUCAAGAGACGGUUCCGCGGGAAACUGAAAAGAAACCCGGAACAACGAGGUGGGGAGACCAGAGGCCAGCCACGUGCCAGGGACAAACUGCUGGGUUUGCGGGGCCUCCGCGGGGGGUCAGAGUAUUGAGGCUAGUUUAGGAGGAAUGGGUCUGGGCACCAGUCUCUGGCUGCGCUCCGUCUUAGAACCAACGGCAGCCCAGGUUUCCUCCUCCUAGGCAGGAAGGCGGGCCGCGCGGUGUCUGCUGGGAGUUGUAGUACUGUAGAGAACGCCCAAGAAGAUUCCUUAUCAACUACCCCCACCCCCACCCAACCCCCCAACCCCGGAAGAAAAUGUCUCCCGAAAGCUAAGGACAGGAGACCCAAGGCCUUGGUAAUCUCAUCCUUUCUCCUUGAGAAAAACAAAAACAAAAAACGGGGACUCGGACGUUCCUACGCAGAAAGGAAGGAGAAAAAAAGGAUUUGACACUAGGUAUGUAGCAUCAACUCAAAAUUCAGAAAAGACAUACAAGAACCCCAAAUAAAAAGCUUAGAAAACAAAUCAC